UGGCCAAGUCCAAAUCAUUUUCCCCGUUUUCAUUGUCGUAUGCGUGGUGCCUUUCCUCUUCCUUGUUUGUGAUAUGAAUGAAGCGUCGCUGGGAGCCUGACACUUCUCCUGAUCUAGGCACUUCCAAAGCCAAAGGCCUGAAGCGACUGUGCACCUGCAAGUCGUCGCCACGUCCAACACAAGAUGGCCGAAACAACUGUAAGAAGCAACAAGGCGACCCCGUCGCUAGUGCCAUCGUCUUCUGCUGCACCUGCUCAAGACAAGAGUGCUGGUACAACUGAUGUAAGCACAUCCAUGUCAUCAUCUUCACCGUCGCCGCCGCCGGCUUUCAACGCUUUCAACUUCUGGCGUACUGCGCUGCCCGUAGUGCCCGCGGCAUGUGAGGUGUCGAACACGAGCAUGGACCAAUCCUAGGUUUGAGUCAACUCCCAUGUGUGAAAAUUGAAAUGCUAUGUACAUGAUUGUAUAGCACCUGUUAAAGCAAUCAGUCUCAUACUAUUGUAACACUUUCCUCAGGCCUUGCGAACACUGUAUUUGCUGUGUUCAGCCAUGCAAGUCCAAGCAGGAGGUAUGACUUGCCAUGCGUACUCCAAGUUAAGUGCUCACUAAAAAAUAGGGUUUGAUUUUUCGAGUUUUCGUACCUCUUUCCAUAUUUCUUUUUUUGUUCUAGCCAAAUCACACAGUUGUAUUCCUUUCCUUUUUGGACAUUGAACGGUAGAUCACAAGUAGUUCCUAGAUAAAAUGGUUGCCUUCUGUGAAGAGCACUGUUUGUUCUCUUUGCUGCAAAAUGGGCGAAAGUCUCA
This is a long non-coding RNA of Sycon ciliatum, 803 nucleotides long. RefSeq lists it as uncharacterized. The record is from RefSeq and is a predicted model, not a curated record. The transcript is spliced from 2 exons. NCBI's taxonomy places the organism in Eukaryota, Metazoa, Porifera, Calcarea, Leucosolenida, Sycettidae.